UGGGGUUGUUCUGAGUCAAGCUUUGUCAACUUUGACCGAGUUUGUAGAUAAAAACACCAACAUAUUUAAUGCUACUAAACAAAUGUAAUAUGAAAAUAUACUUAAUAGUAGGCUUACUGAUACUAGUUUGGGGUUACAUAUGUUGGUGUGCUUUCCUACAAAGUCGGUCAAAGUUGACAAAGUUUGACUUAGGACAACCCCAA
RNAcentral lists this microRNA precursor (203 nucleotides) under Brachypodium distachyon (stiff brome). RNAcentral describes it as "MIR1435 microRNA precursor family". It matches the Rfam family "MIR1435 microRNA precursor family". The record is from Rfam by way of RNAcentral. Lineage: Eukaryota; Viridiplantae; Streptophyta; Magnoliopsida; Poales; Poaceae.